RNAcentral lists this ribosomal RNA (541 nucleotides) under uncultured Ilumatobacter sp. Its description in RNAcentral is "bacterial SSU rRNA". It matches the Rfam family "Bacterial small subunit ribosomal RNA", at positions 367 to 920 of the family's 1533-position model. Lineage: Bacteria; Bacillati; Actinomycetota; Acidimicrobiia; Acidimicrobiales; Ilumatobacteraceae. The record is from RNAcentral.
UUUAAUUAGCGUCGCAGCCUGAUGCACCAACGCCGCGUGCGGGAAGACGGCCCUAUGGUUGUAAACCGCUUUCAGGAGGGAAGAAAAUGACGGUACCUGCAGAAGAAGGUGCGGCCAACUACGUGCCAGCACCCGCGGUGACACGUAGGCACCAAUCGUUAUCCGGAUUUAUUGGGCGUAAAGAGCUCGUAUGCGGUUUAUUAAGUCGGGUGUGAAAAUCCACGGCUUAACCCCGAGAGGCCACCCGAUACUGCUGUGACUUGAGUGCGGUGGGGGAGCGGGGAAUUCCUGGUGUAGCGGUGAAAUGUGCAGAUAUCCGGAAGAACACCUCUGGCGAAGGCGCCAUUCUGGGCCCGAACUGACGUUAAGGAGCAAAAGCGUGGGUAGCAAACAAGAUUGCAUACCCUGGUACUCCACGUACCGUACGUUGGGUACUAGGUGUGGGUCUCUUACAACCCGAUGGGCGCCGUCUCUAACGCAUUAUGUGCCCCGCCGGGGGAGUACGGUCGCACGACAAAAACUCUUGGGAAUUGACGGAGGA